UGGGGAAUAUUGCACAAUGGGCGAAAGCCUGAUGCAGCAACGCCGCGUGAAUGAUGAAGGCCUUCGGGUUGUAAAGCUCUGUCUUUUGGGACGAUAAUGACGGUACCAAAGGAGGAAGCCACGGCUAACUACGUGCCAGCAGCCGCGGUAAUACGUAGGUGGCAAGCGUUGUCCGGAUUUACUGGGCGUAAAGGAUGCGUAGGCGGAUUUUUAAGUGAGAUGUGAAAUACCCGGGCUUAACUUGGGUGCUGCAUUUCAAACUGGGAAUCUAGAGUGCGGGAGAGGAGAAUGGAAUUCCUAGUGUAGCGGUGAAAUGCGUAGAGAUUAGGAAGAACACCAGUGGCGAAGGCGAUUCUCUGGACCGUAACUGACGCUGAGGCAUGAAAGCGUGGGUAGCAAACAGGAUUAGAUACCCUGGUAGUCCACGCCGUAAACGAUGAGUACUAGGUGUAGGAGGUAUCGACCCCUUCUGUGCCGCAGUUAACACAAUAAGUACUCCGCCUGGGAAGUACGAUCGCAAGAUU
This 524-nucleotide ribosomal RNA is filed under the name uncultured bacterium. RNAcentral describes it as "partial 16S ribosomal RNA". It matches the Rfam family "Bacterial small subunit ribosomal RNA", at positions 355 to 895 of the family's 1533-position model. The record is from RNAcentral.